UACUAGGCAACCUGAUGGAGACCUCCAU
RNAcentral lists this non-coding RNA (28 nucleotides) under Mus musculus (house mouse). Lineage: Eukaryota; Metazoa; Chordata; Mammalia; Rodentia; Muridae. The record is from RNAcentral.